AGUGAACGCUGGCGGUAGGCCUAACACAUGCAAGUCGAACGGCAGCACAGAGGAGCUUGCUCCUUGGGUGGCGAGUGGCGGACGGGUGAGGAAUACAUCGGAAUCUACUCUGUCGUGGGGGAUAACGUAGGGAAACUUACGCUAAUACCGCAUACGACCUACGGGUGAAAGCAGGGGACCUUCGGGCCUUGCGCGAUUGAAUGAGCCGAUGUCGGAUUAGCUAGUUGGCGGGGUAAAGGCCCACCAAGGCGACGAUCCGUAGCUGGUCUGAGAGGAUGAUCAGCAACACUGAAACUGAGACACGGUCCAGACUCCUACGGGAGGCAGCAGUGGGGAAUAUUGGACAAUGGGCGCAAGCCUGAUCCAGCCAUACCGCGUGGGUGAAGAAGGCCUUCGGGUUGUAAAGCCCUUUUGUUGGGAAAGAAAUCCAGCUGGCUAAUACCCGGUUGGGAUGACGGUACCCAAAGAAUAAGCACCGGCUAACUUCGUGCCAGCCGCCGCAGUAA
This 506-nucleotide ribosomal RNA is filed under the name uncultured bacterium. RNAcentral's name for it is "partial 16S ribosomal RNA". It matches the Rfam family "Bacterial small subunit ribosomal RNA", at positions 29 to 523 of the family's 1533-position model. The record is from RNAcentral.